This 425-nucleotide ribosomal RNA is filed under the name uncultured bacterium. RNAcentral's name for it is "partial 16S ribosomal RNA". It matches the Rfam family "Bacterial small subunit ribosomal RNA", at positions 354 to 796 of the family's 1533-position model. The record is from RNAcentral.
GUGGGGAAUCUUAGACAAUGGGCGCAAGCCUGAUCUAGCCAUGCCGCGUGAUCGAUGAAGGCCUUAGGGUUGUAAAGAUCUUUCAGUGGGGAAGAUAAUGACUGUACCCACAGAAGAAGCCCCGGCUAACUCCGUGCCAGCAGCCGCGGUAAUACGGAGGGGGCUAGCGUUGUUCGGAAUUACUGGGCGUAAAGCGCACGUAGGCGGAACAGAAAGUCAGAGGUGAAAUCCCAGGGCUCAACCUUGGAACUGCCUUUGAAACUCCUGUUCUUGAGUUCGAGAGAGGUGGGUGGAAUUCCGAGUGUAGAGGUGAAAUUCGUAGAUAUUCGGAGGAACACCAGUGGCGAAGGCGGCUCACUGGCUCGAUACUGACGCUGAGGUGCGAAAGCGUGGGGAGCAAACAGGAUUAGAAACCCGAGUAGUCC